This 253-nucleotide ribosomal RNA is filed under the name uncultured bacterium. Its description in RNAcentral is "partial 16S ribosomal RNA". It matches the Rfam family "Bacterial small subunit ribosomal RNA", at positions 524 to 776 of the family's 1533-position model. The record is from RNAcentral.
UACGGGGGGGGCAAGCGUUGUUCGGAAUUACUGGGCGUAAAGGGCUCGUAGGUGGCCAACUAAGUCAGACGUGAAAUCCCCAGGCUUAACCUGGGAACUGCGUCUGAUACUGGAUGGCUUGAAUUCGGGAGAGGGAUGCAGAGUUCCAGGUGUAGCGGUGAAAUGCGUAGAUAUCUGGAGGAAUACCGGUGGCGAAGGCGGCAUCCUGGACCGGCAUUGACGCUGAGGAGCGAAAGCUAGGGGAGCAAACGGG